GUGAGGAAUAUUGCGCAAUGGAGGCAACUCUGACGCAGCCAUGCCGCGUGCAGGAAGAAGGCGCUACGCGUUGUAAACUGCUUUUAACCGGGAAGAAACCCCAGGACGUGUCCUGGGUUGACGGUACCGGAGGAAUAAGCACCGGCUAACUUCGUGCCAGCAGCCGCGGUAAUACGAAGGGUGCAAGCGUUAUCCGGAUUCAUUGGGUUUAAAGGGUGCGUAGGCGGAGCGUUGAGUCAGUGGUGAAAUCCUGCAGCUUAACUGUAGACUUGCCAUUGAUACUGGCGCUCUUGAGUGCGCUUGAAGUGGGCGGAAUGUGCCGUGUAGCGGUGAAAUGCUUAGAUAUGGCACAGAACACCAAUUGCGAAGGCAGCUCACUAAGGCGAUACUGACGCUGAGGCACGAAAGCGUGGGGAUCGAACAGGAUUAGAUACCCCGGUAGUCC
Molecule: ribosomal RNA, 445 nt
Filed under: uncultured bacterium
Lineage: Bacteria
Description: partial 16S ribosomal RNA
Rfam family: Bacterial small subunit ribosomal RNA
Source: RNAcentral